AUCCUGCUGACGAGUCCCAAACAGGACGAAACGCGCGUCAAACUGGAU
Molecule: non-coding RNA, 48 nt
Filed under: Schistosoma haematobium
Lineage: Eukaryota; Metazoa; Platyhelminthes; Trematoda; Strigeidida; Schistosomatidae
Source: RNAcentral